This 254-nucleotide ribosomal RNA is filed under the name uncultured bacterium. RNAcentral's name for it is "partial 16S ribosomal RNA". It matches the Rfam family "Bacterial small subunit ribosomal RNA", at positions 524 to 776 of the family's 1533-position model. The record is from RNAcentral.
UACGUAGGGGGCAAGCGUUGUCCGGAAUCAUUGGGCGUAAAGAGCGUGUAGGCGGCCCGGUAAGUCCGCUGUGAAAGUCGGGGGCUCAACCCUCGAACGCCGGUGGAUACUGUCGGGCUAGAGUGCGGAAGAGGCGAGUGGAAUUCCUGGUGUAGCGGUGAAAUGCGCAGAUAUCAGGAGGAACACCGAUUGCGAAGGCAGCUCGCUGGGACGUAACUGACGCUGGAGACGCGAAAGCGUGGGGAGCGAACGGG